AGCAGCCGCGGUAAUUCCAGCUCCAAUAGCGUAUAUUAAAGUUGUUGCAGUUAAAAAGCUCGUAGUUGAAUUUUAGGCCUGACCGGACGGUCCGUCUCUGGCGAGUACUGUUCUGCUGUCGGGUCUAUCCUUCUGGUGAGCCGGUAUGCCCUUUAUUGGGUGUGUCGGGGAACCAGGACCAUUACCUUGAAAAAAUUAGAGUGUUUAAAGCGGGCUUUUGCUUGAAUAGAUUAGCAUGGAAUAAUAGAAUAGGACGUUGGUUCUAUUUUGUUGGUCUAGGACCACCGUAAUGAUUAAUAGGGAUAGUUGGGGGCAUUAGUAUUCAAUUGUCAGAGGUGAAAUUCUUGGAUUUAUUGAAGACUAACUACUGCGAAAGCAUUUGCCAAGGAUGUUUUCAUUAAUCAAGAACGAAAGUUAGGGGAUCGAAGACGAUCAGAUACCGUCGUAGUC
This 450-nucleotide ribosomal RNA is filed under the name uncultured Archaeospora. Its description in RNAcentral is "SSU rRNA". It matches the Rfam family "Eukaryotic small subunit ribosomal RNA", at positions 569 to 1025 of the family's 1831-position model. Lineage: Eukaryota; Fungi; Glomeromycota; Glomeromycetes; Archaeosporales; Archaeosporaceae. The record is from RNAcentral.